UCGGCAACGGAUAUCUCGGCUCUCGCAUCGAUGAAGAACGUAGCGAAAUGCGAUACUUGGUGUGAAUUGCAGAAUCCCGUGAACCAUCGAGUCUUUGAACGCAAGUGCGCCCGAAGCGAUUAGCCGAGGCACGUCUGCCUGGGCGUCACGC
This 151-nucleotide ribosomal RNA is filed under the name Lycium andersonii. RNAcentral describes it as "5.8S ribosomal RNA". It matches the Rfam family "5.8S ribosomal RNA". Rfam says of the family: 5.8S ribosomal RNA (5.8S rRNA) is a component of the large subunit of the eukaryotic ribosome. Lineage: Eukaryota; Viridiplantae; Streptophyta; Magnoliopsida; Solanales; Solanaceae. The record is from RNAcentral.